Molecule: non-coding RNA, 217 nt
Filed under: Paenibacillus sp.
Lineage: Bacteria; Bacillati; Bacillota; Bacilli; Caryophanales; Paenibacillaceae
Description: T-box sequence
Rfam family: T-box leader
About the family: Uncharged tRNA acts as the effector for transcription antitermination of genes in the T-box leader family. T-boxes are found upstream of many aminoacyl-tRNA synthetase genes and some amino acid biosynthetic genes usually in Gram-positive bacteria.
Source: RNAcentral
UGUGGAACUUUGAAGAGGAAUAGUAAUUUGGAUUUCGCCAUCCAGAGAGCCGGCGUUUGGUGCAAGCCGGUUGGGGAAUGCAGAUGAACUCGCCUUGGAGUUAUGAUGCGCAAAUCAUCAUCGUCUUGCCCGCGUUAAGGGUGCAAAGGGAGCUAGGACAAAGCAUGUCCGACGCUAACUAGGGUGGUACCACGGGAAAUCUCCUCUCGUCCCUAGC